Long non-coding RNA from Chenopodium quinoa (quinoa), 619 nucleotides. RefSeq lists it as uncharacterized. The record is from RefSeq and is a predicted model, not a curated record. Lineage: Eukaryota; Viridiplantae; Streptophyta; Magnoliopsida; Caryophyllales; Amaranthaceae. The transcript has 5 exons.
ACCCUAACUCUCAUAGUUUCAUCAGUUUUAAUUUUUUCAUCUUUCUCCGUACCCAGUUCUCCAAAAACACUAAGAGAUUCAUGGAAUUAGGAUUUGGAUCUGUAUUUUCAGCGUGGUUCUUAUAAAUUGGGAAGCAGAAUUUGCUUUUCUCUCAUUCCUAUGCUAGUUAGUAAUUAUUCAAAGAGUAGCAAUGGGGUUCAGAUUCAAUCCUUAGUGCUUGAGCUAGAUACAACGUUGCUUUAGAGGUCAAUGAAUUUAUCCAGGUUUCUCAAACUUGCAUUGUUUUAUAAUCGAUGGAACUCUUGAUUUCCUACAUCAGUAUGUAUUUGGCAGCAUGAAGUACUUUAGUGUUGUGGACUAAGAAUUUCAGUACUCUUCAGCAAUGAAACCAGAGGAUGUUAUGACUAUUAUAUGUGUCAAGUCUACAAAUUAAUCAAGUCAUUCCAUGAAGACGUUAAAUUAGCUCCAAUUCAAUAGAGAGAAGUUGCGUGUUUUUCGAAAUAGUUGUAGUAUUGCAACUAUGCAUUUUUAUUUAAUGUUAGCAGUUUAAGAAAUCGAAUGUCUUGUAAAUGAAUAUUAGUUUAAUAAUGUUAGAAUAUAAUCAUAGUUUUUUGCAUUA